This 888-nucleotide ribosomal RNA is filed under the name Aspergillus phoenicis. RNAcentral describes it as "eukaryotic LSU rRNA". It matches the Rfam family "Eukaryotic large subunit ribosomal RNA", at positions 70 to 930 of the family's 3401-position model. The record is from RNAcentral. Lineage: Eukaryota; Fungi; Ascomycota; Eurotiomycetes; Eurotiales; Aspergillaceae.
GGCGAGGUCUAGUACGGCGAGUGAGCGGCAGAGCUCAAAUUUGAAAGCUGGCUCCUUCGGAGUCCGCAUUGUAAUUUGCAGAGGAUGCUUUGGGUGCGGCCCCCGUCUAAGUGCCCUGGAACGGGCCGUCAGAGAGGGUGAGAAUCCCGUCUUGGGCGGGGUGUCCGUGCCCGUGUAAAGCUCCUUCGACGAGUCGAGUUGUUUGGGAAUGCAGCUCUAAAUGGGUGGUAAAUUUCAUCUAAAGCUAAAUACUGGCCGGAGACCGAUAGCGCACAAGUAGAGUGAUCGAAAGAUGAAAAGCACUUUGAAAAGAGAGUUAAACAGCACGUGAAAUUGUUGAAAGGGAAGCGCUUGCGACCAGACUCGCCCGCGGGGUUCAGCCGGCAUUCGUGCCGGUGUACUUCCCCGUGGGCGGGCCAGCGUCGGUUUGGGCGGCCGGUCAAAGGCCCCUGGAAUGUAGUGCCCUCCGGGGCACCUUAUAGCCAGGGGUGCAAUGCGGCCAGCCUGGACCGAGGAACGCGCUUCGGCACGGACGCUGGCAUAAUGGUCGUAAACGACCCGUCUUGAAACACGGACCAAGGAGUCUAACAUCUACGCGAGUGUUCGGGUGUCAAACCCGUGCGCGCAGUGAAAGCGAACGGAGGUGGGAGCCCCCUUGCGGGGCGCACCAUCGACCGAUCCUGAUGUCUUCGGAUGGAUUUGAGUAAGAGCGUAGCUGUGGGGACCCGAAAGAUGGUGAACUAUGCCUGAAUAGGGCGAAGCCAGAGGAAACUCUGGUGGAGGCUCGCAGCGGUUCUGACGUGCAAAUCGAUCGUCAAAUUUGGGUAUAGGGGCGAAGAUAACGCCCUCUUUUAUUAUAAAAAUGUUUUUUGGUUAAUCUCUAUGUAA